UAUUGGCAGAUAUUGUUGGUUUUUCUGCUAUAAUAGCGCAGCAAUGUGGGGCGGUAUUUUCCUUUGUCAAUUUACACUUUGCAACAUUCCAACUACAUAUGGAUGAAUUUGAAUCUUAGGGCUUUGAGUCUCUAGGAGUUUACUGCAAAUUUAAAAUCUUGAUACACAUCCCCAGUAAUGGUAUAUCAUCCCGCAAUAUAUCCAUGGUAAUGGUUAAUUAUCUCAAUAUACAUCCUCUGGUAAUGGCUGUUCAUCUUAUUAUUCAACUGUUAAAUGAUUCUCAUAUCAAUAAAACCCAAAUUCCAUACCAGUAUAAAUUUUAGUUUUGCAAAGUAAUGAUGCAAAAUUGUGCCUUUGGCAUAGUUUUUGAGCAAGUAAAGGAGACUGACAACUUAUGUUCUUUUCAUACAAUGGUCAAAAUAUGUUGGGAGUAUUUCAUUCUCUUCCUUUUUUGCUUAAAUUAUUAGUUAGCCUACAUUUGAUGCUACCAUAUCAGCUGUUGAGAAGAUGUUAUGGUUUUCUUAAUUUGGGCUGAAAUACAUCAGUUUUUCUGCAACUAUUGCUGGUGGUGAUGCAUCUCAUGAUAAGAGCUGUGUGAUUUAAAGGUUCGACUGGUUACUGAUACUGAGUCAAAUAAGCCCAAGGGUUAUUUAUGCAUUCAUUGAAUACCUGCACACAAGAGACACUAAAGCUGCUUUAUAAGCAAGCUGAUGGUAGGAAAAUUGAGAGUAGAAGGGUUGUGGGCUAGGUACUACUAGAGUAGGGGGCGAAGAAGUUGCUACAUUCGUGGAGG
Long non-coding RNA from Vicia villosa (hairy vetch), 793 nucleotides. RefSeq lists it as uncharacterized. The transcript is spliced from 3 exons. Lineage: Eukaryota; Viridiplantae; Streptophyta; Magnoliopsida; Fabales; Fabaceae. The record is from RefSeq and is a predicted model, not a curated record.